This 460-nucleotide ribosomal RNA is filed under the name uncultured bacterium. RNAcentral describes it as "partial 16S ribosomal RNA". It matches the Rfam family "Bacterial small subunit ribosomal RNA", at positions 338 to 795 of the family's 1533-position model. The record is from RNAcentral.
CCUACGGGCGGCAGCAGUGAGGAAUAUUGGUCAAUGGACGAGAGUCUGAACCAGCCAAGUAGCGUGAAGGAUGACUGCCCUAUGGGUUGUAAACUUCUUUUAUAUGGGAAUAAAAUGUUCCACGUGUGGGAUUUUGUAUGUACCAUAUGAAUAAGGAUCGGCUAACUCCGUGCCAGCAGCCGCGGUAAUACGGAGGAUCCGAGCGUUAUCCGGAUUUAUUGGGUUUAAAGGGAGCGUAGGUGGAUUGUUAAGUCAGUUGUGAAAGUUUGCGGCUCAACCGUAAAAUUGCAGUUGAAACUGGCAGUCUUGAGGACAGUAGAGGUGGGCGGAAUUCGUGGUGUAGCGGUGAAAUGCUUAGAUAUCACGAAGAACUCCGAUUGCGAAGGCAGUUCACUGGACUGCAACUGACACUGAGGCUCGAAAGUGUGGGUAUCAAACAGGAUUAGAUACCCGAGUAGUC